RNAcentral lists this ribosomal RNA (525 nucleotides) under uncultured Herbaspirillum sp. RNAcentral describes it as "bacterial SSU rRNA". It matches the Rfam family "Bacterial small subunit ribosomal RNA", at positions 8 to 526 of the family's 1533-position model. Lineage: Bacteria; Pseudomonadati; Pseudomonadota; Betaproteobacteria; Burkholderiales; Oxalobacteraceae. The record is from RNAcentral.
AGAGUUUGAUCCUGGCUCAGAUUGAACGCUGGCGGCAUGCCUUACACAUGCAAGUCGAACGGCAGCAUAGGAGCUUGCUCCUGAUGGCGAGUGGCGAACGGGUGAGUAAUAUAUCGGAACGUGCCCUAGAGUGGGGGAUAACUAGUCGAAAGACUAGCUAAUACCGCAUACGAUCUACGGAUGAAAGUGGGGGAUCGCAAGACCUCAUGCUCCUGGAGCGGCCGAUAUCUGAUUAGCUAGUUGGUGGGGUAAAAGCUCACCAAGGCGACGAUCAGUAGCUGGUCUGAGAGGACGACCAGCCACACUGGGACUGAGACACGGCCCAGACUCCUACGGGAGGCAGCAGUGGGGAAUUUUGGACAAUGGGGGCAACCCUGAUCCAGCAAUGCCGCGUGAGUGAAGAAGGCCUUCGGGUUGUAAAGCUCUUUUGUCAGGGAAGAAACGGUUCUGGAUAAUACCUGGAGCUAAUGACGGUACCUGAAGAAUAAGCACCGGCUAACUACGUGCCAGCAGCCGCGGUAAUUC